UACGGAGGUUGCAAGCGUUGUUCGGAAUUACUGGGCGUAAAGGGAGCGCAGGCGGUUGGGUAAGUCUAAAGUGAAAGCCCGGGGCUUAACUCCGGAAGUGCUUUGGAUACUGCCCGACUUGAGUUCGUGAGAGGAAAGCGGAAUUCCAGGUGUAGCGGUGAAAUGCGUAGAUAUCUGGAGGAACACCGGUGGCGAAGGCGGCUUUCUGGCGCGAUACUGACGCUGAGGCUCGAAAGCUAGGGGAGCAAACGGG
This 253-nucleotide ribosomal RNA is filed under the name uncultured bacterium. RNAcentral describes it as "partial 16S ribosomal RNA". It matches the Rfam family "Bacterial small subunit ribosomal RNA", at positions 524 to 776 of the family's 1533-position model. The record is from RNAcentral.